Acinonyx jubatus (cheetah) is the source of this 1654-nucleotide long non-coding RNA. RefSeq lists it as uncharacterized. The transcript has 3 exons. NCBI's taxonomy places the organism in Eukaryota, Metazoa, Chordata, Mammalia, Carnivora, Felidae. The record is from RefSeq and is a predicted model, not a curated record.
UUGGCGUGAGGUUAAUUUCAUAGAAGGCCAAGGUCAUCUGAAUUCCAUCUUAAACAGGAAAGAAAGCAAGGUGCAGCUUGGCAGGGGCUAGAUAAGAGCUGAGGCCACUGAUGUAUGUUCAGUUGCAGCCUGGAAACCAUCACAGGGGAUGACGUAAACCACCGUCCGCGUACGAUGCUUUACAGGUUGUGUGGACACGGGCUCCGGAGCCAGACCCCUUGGGUUCCGAUCCACGUUCACCAUUCAUUAGUUGCAAGUGAUUGCUCUUCAAGAUUUCUUCUGAGAAGUCAUACAAAACAGGAAUGUAAAAUGCAAAAAAGACACUGAGCAGGAAGGCACUACAGAAAGCCUUCCUCCAAAGGGGAUGUUUAUUUCAGAGACACACAGGGGGACGCUCAAGCAGCUGUCUUCCAGGAAAUCGUCCACAACCCAGGAGCUCUGACUCCCGGGAGAAGGAAGAGGACGGCCCCUCGGGGCCGCACAGAAUGGACAGGCCAAGCGACAGGAGGGAGGCCGCCCGCGCUCUUCCAGGGCCUUGAGGAAGGCACAGUCACACCUGCAAAACACAGCGCCCAUCUUUUUCAUCUGCUUUUACUUCUCAGGAGACCCCGGUCCCCAGGGAUCUGUUUUCACCUCCCCGGCUCGGCACACAUGUUUUCUACAUGAUAUUAACCGGUCGCCUUUGAAUCUCGUACAUCCUGGUAUGCUUUGGGUUCACCGACCUCAUUUUUACACACACACACACACACACACACACUCCCCGGAAUCUGUACUAGCUGACUGCCGGCAAAAGAAAACGUUAGUGUGGCUCUUUCUCCUUCUUUUAAACAGCUUAAUUGAGAUACAAUGUACACGCCAUAAAACUCACUUAAAGUGUGUUCUUGCCUGACUUGGCGUUUAUUUACUGGGGUGUGCAUUAGCUGUUUCUUCCUGAAAAAUGGGGCCGCCGGGUGGACAUUUUGACCCUACAGGCUCCCCCCUUUGACAGGUGACAUCUAAAUAGACAGCAGAUUCUGUCCAUGUUUCCACCCCCUUCGCCCCCCUCCAAAAGUUGUUUUACUCAUUUUGCCACUUACAACCGACUUCCUGUGUUUGGAGUCUGAGCCGCCCAGGCCUUUUCCGGAGACUUGCUGCCUGGUUUCUGCACUAAUAGUAAGUUUCUUUUGUGUUGGAGGGGUUUUCUGUUCGGUUUUUUGUUAUUUAGAGUCUUCUGCUUGUUUCCCUUAUCUGCGGGGCUGGGGAGACCCCAAUGAAAGGUAUCUGUGUGGCCUAACGGACUCUGCAGAAGUAUUUGGUACUUAGAGCCAAAUGUAAACGUUCGCAGCAUUCUGACUCUGGGGGUGGUCAGAAAGGAAGAUGGUUAGGAAUAUGAAGAGGCUUGGAGCUUUUUCCUGAUAUUAAAAUGUUAAUCUCUAGUUUCGCUCUGACUUCUGUCUCUGUUCCCUCGUUUGAAGAAUAGGAUUUAAAAUAACUGCUUCAUGGGGCGCCCGGGUGGUUCUGUCAGUGAAGCACCCGACUCCAGCUCAGGUCACGAUCUCGCGGCUCGUGAGUUCGAGCCCCACGUCGGGCUCUGUGCUGACAGCUUGGAGCCCGGAGCCUGCUUCGGAUUCUGUGUCCCUCUUUCUCUCCACCCCACCCCUGCUUGUGCUCUGUC